GACAGAGGGUGCAAACGUUGCUCGGAAUUACUGGGCGUAAAGCGCGUGUAGGCGGACCACCAAGUCAGGCGUGAAAUCCCUGGGCUCAACCCAGGAACUGCACCUGAAACUGGCGGUCUUGAGUGGUGGAGAGGGAAGCAGAAUUCCUGGUGUAGAGGUGAAAUUCGUAGAUAUCAGGAGGAACACCGGUGGCGAAGGCGGCUUCCUGGACACUAACUGACGCUGAGACGCGAAAGCGUGGGGAGCAAACAGGAUUAGAUACCCUGGUAGUCCACGCCGUAAACGAUGAGUGCUGGGUGUCGCGGGUUUUGACCCCUGCGGUGCCGUAGCUAACGCGUUAAGCACUCCGCCUGGGGAGUACGGCCGCAAGGCUAAA
Molecule: ribosomal RNA, 376 nt
Filed under: uncultured bacterium
Lineage: Bacteria
Description: bacterial SSU rRNA
Rfam family: Bacterial small subunit ribosomal RNA
Source: RNAcentral